AGCUCUACCUUAGUUUCUUUAUUAUACGAAACAAAAUACUAAACUUAAGAGCUAUUCAAAUAAGGUACAGCUUAUUUGAAACAGGCUACAACCUCCAACACCGGGUUAAUAUAGAUUUUAUAAGUUAAGUGGGCCUAAAAGCAGCCAUCUUACAGAAAGCGUUAAAGCUCAACUAUUUUCCCUUCUUAAAUUCCAAAAAUUAUCUUCAACCCUUCAUUACUACUGAACUAUUUUAUACCUAUAUAAAAGUUAUCAUGCUAGAACUAGUAACAAGAAUUAGCCCUUCUCCAAAAUGUAUACUUAAGCCAAAAUGGACACCCCAUUGGCAGUUACCGCAAAUGCACCCAUUAUAGUACCUCACAACUAGACAACUCUAUAACUUUUAGCGUUAACCUGACACUAGAACAUUACAGGAAAGAUUAAAAGAGAAAGAAGGAACUCGGCAAAUCUCGGUCCCGCCUGUUUACCAAAAACAUCGCCUCUUGACUAAAUAUAAGAGGUCCAGCCUGCCCACUGACAUAGUUUAACGGCCGCGGUACCCUAACCGUGCGAAGGUAGCAUAAUCACUUGUUCUUUAAAUAAGGACUCGUAUCAACGGCAUCACGAGGACUGUACUGUCUCCUUUCUCCAAUCAGUGAAACUGAUCUCCCCGUGAAGAAGCGGGGAUUAACCUAUAAGACGAGAAGACCCCAUGGAGCUUAAAGCCCAUAAACACCUCUACGCACUUAAAUCAACUUAGCCUAAGAGACCUGUCAGCCAGCUUUAGGUUGGGGGGACCGCGGAGAAAAACUUAACCUCCACGACAAACGGGCAAACGCCCUUAUCCGUGAAUUACAAUUCUAAGAAUCAAUAAACUGAUGUUUAAUGACCCGAUUAUUCGAUCAACGAACCAAGUUACCCUGGGGAUAACAGCGCAAUCUACUUUAAGAGCCCAUAUCGACAAGUAGGUUUACGACCUCGAUGUUGGAUCAGGGUAUCCUAGUGGUGCAGCCGCUACUAAAGGUUCGUUUGUUCAACGAUUAAAACCCUACGUGAU
RNAcentral lists this ribosomal RNA (1036 nucleotides) under Amolops wuyiensis (Sanchiang sucker frog). Its description in RNAcentral is "partial large subunit ribosomal RNA". It matches the Rfam family "Archaeal large subunit ribosomal RNA", at positions 951 to 2673 of the family's 2987-position model. The record is from RNAcentral. Lineage: Eukaryota; Metazoa; Chordata; Amphibia; Anura; Ranidae.